GCAUGAGCGAAUUCUGCAUUAGUUCUUCCUUAGUUAAUGCAGUCAGACACCAUGCUAUAGUAUCCUCACUGAGUUUAGCAAGAGGGUUCUGCCUUGUCUGUUUUGGCAACACCUUUCAUUCAGUGAAUACAAUU
Molecule: small nucleolar RNA, 134 nt
Organism: Callorhinchus milii (elephant shark)
Lineage: Eukaryota; Metazoa; Chordata; Chondrichthyes; Chimaeriformes; Callorhinchidae
Source: Ensembl